UGGGUAGCCGCACGAGCGCACCCUUGUCCUUAGUUGCCAGCAUUCAGUUGGGCACUCUNCCGUUACUGCCGGUGACAAACCGGAGGAAGGUGGGGACGACNCUCAAGUCAUCAUGGCCCUUACGUGUAGGGCUACACACGUGCUACAAUGGCAUUUACAGAGGGAGGCGAGACAGUGAUGUGGAGCGGACCCCUUAAAGAAUGUCGUAGUCCGGAUUGGAGUCUGCAACUCGACUCCAUGAAGUCGGAAUCGCUAGUAAUCGCAGGUCAGAAUACUGCGGUGAAUACGUUCCCGGGCCUUGUACACACCGCCCGUCACACCAUGGGAGUGGGAUGCAAAAGAAGUAGUUAGUCUAACCUUCGGGAGGACGAUUACCACUUUGUGUUUCAUGACUGGGGUGAAGUCGUAACAAGGUAACCCUAGGGGAACCUGGGGUUGGAUCACCUCCUU
Molecule: ribosomal RNA, 450 nt
Filed under: uncultured Alteromonadaceae bacterium
Lineage: Bacteria; Pseudomonadati; Pseudomonadota; Gammaproteobacteria; Alteromonadales; Alteromonadaceae
Description: bacterial SSU rRNA
Rfam family: Bacterial small subunit ribosomal RNA
Source: RNAcentral